CGGUUUGGUUUAACAGCAAUCCCAGAACCUGGAAUUAUGGGGGUUCCAGAAGCAGAAUCUGGAAUUGCUGUUGGCAGGAGACGGGAUGAUCCUUAAAUCCCCUCCCAGCCCAGGCCAUGCCAGCAUUCCAGGACUCCAUGAGAGGUGUGCAGGAAGAGCAGGACUCCCAAGACAGAAUUGUGAGGAGACGUUUCCUCCAGCCCAUCCCUUAUUCAGAGCCAGCCCUUUCCUCUCCCUGUGUCCGGCAGCUCCGGCUGUGAGUGACCUUUCCAGGGUCACCGUGGUGACAUCGGGGCCAAUGUCCAGGCAGGGCAGUGGCCGCAGUCCCGGGACAGCCGCGGUGGCACCAUGAGGCUGUGGCUGCUCUGCGCCGUGGCCGUGGCCAUGGCCGGAGUGGCCGGAGCUGACCACGGCGACUCCGGGAUGGCGGCAGAGAGGAGAGAGGGCCAGCGGCGGCCGCACAGACCCUGCUCCGGCUGCUUCUCGGUGCUGAGCGAGGUGAGCCGGGAUGCGGGAAUGCGGGGUCGGGGGAUGGGGGCUCCUACACCCGUGUCUGUCCCGCAGGAGUCGCAGUCGAUGCCCUGGAAUUCCCGGGAGGAGGAUGCGGCUCAGCUGGGCAGGCGGGCUCGGAGCAGGAAGGGACUGGAGGUACCGGAGUGUGCCCAGGGCUGCCCGGGAAUGGGGAUGGGGAUGGGGAUGGGGAUGGGAUGGGAUGGGAUGGGAUGGGAUGGGAUGGGAUNNNNNNNNNNNNNNNNNNNNNNNNNNNNNNNNNNNNNGGGAUGGGAUGGGAUGGGAUGGGAUGGGAUGGGAUGGGAUGGGAUGGGAUGGGAUGGGAUGGCAUCUCCCUCUUCCGGGUUCCCUGUGACACAGCGCUCCCUCCCGCAGGCCAGAGCCAGGAGGGAGAGCCUGCAGCCGUCCCAGCCUGCCGGACACCCCGGGCGCAUCCUGCUGCUGUGACCGGUGACAGCGGAACCCCGGCAGGAGCCCGGGACCGGCAGGGACCCCCCGGCAGCCCCCGCGGGACGUUUCAGGAGUGACCGAGCAGCCAAGAGCGCGGUGGGAACAAUGCCAGAGCCCGGGAAUGCUGCUGGACACCGGGAGCAGCCCCACGCCAGCAGAACUCAGCCACCCACUCCCUGCUCUGCGCUGAGCCCCCCGCCUUUCCCACCCCCCAAAAUGCUUCUGGGGCAGCCGCCCCCGCUUUGCCAAGCCCCCAAAUAAAGCUGGCACACCAGAGGGAGCA
This 1243-nucleotide long non-coding RNA is filed under the name Lonchura striata (white-rumped munia). Its description in RNAcentral is "domestica (Bengalese finch) lncRNA (ENSLSDG00000000783.1)". Lineage: Eukaryota; Metazoa; Chordata; Aves; Passeriformes; Estrildidae. The record is from RNAcentral.